AGUGAACGCUGGCGGUAGGCCUAACACAUGCAAGUCGAACGGCAGCACCGUAAGGGCUUGCUCUUACGGGUGGCGAGUGGCGGACGGGUGCGGAAUACAUCGGAAUCUACUUUUUCGUGGGGGAUAACGUAGGGAAACUUACGCUAAUACCGCAUACGGCCUACGGGUGAAAGCAGGGGAUCUUCGGACCUUGCGCGAUUGAAUGAGCCGAUGUCGGAUUAGCUAGUUGGUGGGGUAAAGGCCCACCAAGGCGACGAUCCGUAGCUGGUCUGAGAGGAUGAUCAGCCACACUGGAACUGAGACACGGUCCAGACUCCUACGGGAGGCAGCAGUGGGGAAUAUUGGACAAUGGGCGCAAGCCUGAUCCAGCCAUACCGCGUGGGUGAAGAAGGCCUUCGGGUUGUAAAGCCCUUUUGUUGGGAAAGAAGAGCAGCAGGUUAAUACCGCGCUGUUCUGACGGUACCCAAAGAAUAAGCACCGGCUAACUUCGUG
This 492-nucleotide ribosomal RNA is filed under the name uncultured bacterium. RNAcentral's name for it is "partial 16S ribosomal RNA". It matches the Rfam family "Bacterial small subunit ribosomal RNA", at positions 29 to 507 of the family's 1533-position model. The record is from RNAcentral.